GGAAGGGCCAAGAGGUUGAGGGUGGCCAGCACUUCAGCGGCUCCCCACCUGGCCUUGCAUCGCCUCCCAGCAGGGGUGGGGAGGGCUCCGGAGUAGACCCUCGGCCCCCUCUGGUUUUGCCUGUGACCUCAGUGUAGCUGGCAGGGACAGCCAGCUGAGCCAGGUAGGGUGUGUGUGAUCCCCUGUGGGCGCAGAGACUCUGGAGAAGGUCCUAGAAGGGCAGAAGAAGCCCUGAUGAGCCAGGAGGCCGGGACCCACCCCUGGCUCCCUGAAUGGCCUUGGGUGAGCCCUUUGCCCUCUCAGCCCUCUGGGCCGCUCACUGUCUCCCCAUUUGUACAGUGAAGAGACUGAGCUGCAGGGCUCCAAGGAUGCUGUCAUCGCUCAACCCCUGAUGGUGUGGUACAGGCCCCCACCCCUGCCAGCUGGAAGUCCAGGGCCCAUCACCAGGGACAACCAGGGUCCCAGGGAGGAGAAGAAUGAUGGGAAGGACUGAUGGACC
Molecule: long non-coding RNA, 499 nt
Filed under: Equus caballus (horse)
Lineage: Eukaryota; Metazoa; Chordata; Mammalia; Perissodactyla; Equidae
Description: lncRNA (ENSECAG00000059594.1)
Source: RNAcentral